GUAGGGGGGCAAGCGUUGUCCGGAAUUAUUGGGCGUAAAGCGCGCGCAGGGCGGCUAUUUAAGUCUGGGUGUUUAAACCUUGGGGCUCAACCUGAGGUCGCACUGGAAACUGGGUGGCUUGAGUACAGAAGAGGAAAGUGGAAUUCCACGUGUAGCGGUGAAAUGCGUAGAGAUGUGGAGGAACACCAGUGGCGAAGGCGACUUUCUGGGCUGUAACUGACGCUGAGGCGCGAAAGCGUGGGGAGCAAACAGGAUUAGAUACCCUGGUAGUCCACGCCGUAAACGAUGAGUGCUAGGUGUUAGGGGUUUCGAUACCCUUGGUGCCGAAGUUAACACAGUAAGCACUCCGCCUGGGGAGUACGGUCGCAAAGACUG
RNAcentral lists this ribosomal RNA (375 nucleotides) under uncultured organism. RNAcentral's name for it is "partial 16S ribosomal RNA". It matches the Rfam family "Bacterial small subunit ribosomal RNA", at positions 526 to 896 of the family's 1533-position model. The record is from RNAcentral.